UGAGAUGUUGUAAACCGAGUAAACCGAGAGAAAGAAGAAGAAAGGCAUCAGGCGCCAGCGGCAAACAACCUUGGGACUCAACGCAGUCAAUUCCGCUGUUGCGCAUCGAUUGG
Long non-coding RNA from Monomorium pharaonis (pharaoh ant), 113 nucleotides. RefSeq lists it as uncharacterized. Lineage: Eukaryota; Metazoa; Arthropoda; Insecta; Hymenoptera; Formicidae. The record is from RefSeq and is a predicted model, not a curated record. The transcript has 2 exons.